This 224-nucleotide long non-coding RNA is filed under the name Glycine max (soybean). RNAcentral's name for it is "long non-coding RNA (GMAX_LNC000245)". The record is from RNAcentral. Lineage: Eukaryota; Viridiplantae; Streptophyta; Magnoliopsida; Fabales; Fabaceae.
GCGCAUAUCCUCUCAACAGAUUCGAGUACAUUUCUUCUCGUGUGGCCACGCUAUGCACAUUCUUUGAUACAAAACAUGUCUGGAAGCCUCUUUUCGCUAUUAAGGAAACGGUGGAGCGAAGCAUAUAUUUUGAUUUUGAUUUCAUUUCAUUUCACCCAGGAAUGGAUUGAGGAACACUUGAGUGUCUUUAUCAGCGAUAAUUAGUUCAUAGUUUUUAAAAAUAC